Molecule: ribosomal RNA, 332 nt
Filed under: uncultured bacterium
Lineage: Bacteria
Description: bacterial SSU rRNA
Rfam family: Bacterial small subunit ribosomal RNA
Source: RNAcentral
CGCGUAGGCGGGAUGGCAAGUCGGUCGUGAAAUCCUUCGGCUCAACCGAAGGACGUCGGCCGAUACUGCCGUUCUUGAGGGAUGCAGAGGAGACUGGAAUUCCCGGUGUAGCGGUGAAAUGUGUAGAGAUCGGGAGGAACACCGGUGGCGAAGGCGGGUCUCUGGGCAUCUCCUGACGCUGAGGCGCGAAAGCGUGGGGAGCAAACGGGAUUAGAUACCCCGGUAGUCCACGCCAUAAACGAUGACGACUAGGUGUGGGGUGGUUCAGUCCACUCCGUGCCGCAGCUAACGCAUUAAGUCGUCUGCCUGGGGAGUACGGCCGCAAGGUUGAA